UAGUCCACGCCCUAAACGAUGCUUACUCGACAUUGGCGAUACACUGUCAGUGUCUAAGGGAAACCACUAAGUAAGCCACCUGGGGAGUACGUCGGCAACGAUGAAACUCAAAGGAAUUGACGGGUUCCCGCACAAGCAGCGGAGCGUGUGGUUUAAUUCGAGGCUACGCGAAGAACCUUACCAGGGUUUGACAUAUACGUGGUAGAGAUUGGAAACAUGAACGACCCUUCGGGGAGCGUAUACAGGUGCUGCAUGGCUGUCGUCAGCUCGUGCCGUGAGGUGUUCGGUUAAGUCCGCGAACGAGCGCAACCCACAUCGCUAGUUACAAGUGUCUAGUGAGACUGCCCGUGAUAAGCGGGAGGAAGGGUGUGGGAUGAUGUCAAGUCAGCAUGGCCUUUAUAUCCUGGGGCUACACACACGCUACAAUGGACGGGUACAAUGGGC
RNAcentral lists this ribosomal RNA (444 nucleotides) under uncultured bacterium. RNAcentral's name for it is "bacterial SSU rRNA". It matches the Rfam family "Bacterial small subunit ribosomal RNA", at positions 791 to 1247 of the family's 1533-position model. The record is from RNAcentral.